Molecule: ribosomal RNA, 313 nt
Filed under: uncultured bacterium
Lineage: Bacteria
Description: bacterial SSU rRNA
Rfam family: Bacterial small subunit ribosomal RNA
Source: RNAcentral
GAAUCAACGCUGGCGGCGUGCCUAACACAUGCAAGUCGAACGCGACUGGGGCUUCGGCCUCAGUUGAGUGGCGAACGGGUGAGUAACACGUGGGUGACCUACCUUCGAAUGGGGGAUGACGUCCCGAAAGGGACGCUAAUACCGCAUAACAUCCCGCCUUUGAACAGGCGGAGAUCAAAGCCGGGAUCGCAAGACCUGGCGUUUGAAGAGGGGCCCGCGUCCGAUUAGCUAGUUGGUGAGGUAACGGCUCACCAAGGCGACGAUCGGUAGCCGGCCUGAGAGGGCGGACGGCCACACUGGGACUGAGACACGG